This is a non-coding RNA of Pelobates cultripes (western spadefoot toad), 311 nucleotides long. The record is from the annotation of a GenBank genome assembly. NCBI's taxonomy places the organism in Eukaryota, Metazoa, Chordata, Amphibia, Anura, Pelobatidae.
GAAGUUCUUUCAUUACCCUGAACCUUGUGUCUCAGUGUGAAUUUACUUCUGCGUGCACGCAACUUUAUUAUCUUUAAUUUGGACAGGAACAGAUAGUCAUUCAAACUAAUUGGUUUGCAGUAAAUUAUAUACGACAAAUUGGCGCUUUCAACGUGGGGCUCUGGGCUAUGUCCAGUCUGGGCAGCUGUCCUGGGGGAAGGAAAAGAGCCUGAUCACCUCUGAAUACACGGUAGAGAUUGCUGCAGCACCUAGCCGGUAUGUUCCUGCCCCUGUGAUUGACCUGCCCCAGUGUCUGUGACUGCUGCCGAGAG